RNAcentral lists this ribosomal RNA (495 nucleotides) under uncultured bacterium. Its description in RNAcentral is "partial 16S ribosomal RNA". It matches the Rfam family "Bacterial small subunit ribosomal RNA", at positions 28 to 507 of the family's 1533-position model. The record is from RNAcentral.
GACGAACGCUGGCGGCGUGCCUAAUACAUGCAAGUAGAACGCUGAAGGCGGAGCUUGCUUCUCCGGAUGAGUUGCGAACGGGUGAGUAACGCGUAGGUAACCUGCCUGGUAGCGGGGGAUAACUAUUGGAAACGAUAGCUAAUACCGCAUAAGAGUAGAUGUCGCAUGACAUUUGCUUAAAAGGUGCAACUGCACCACUACCAGAUGGACCUGCGUUGUAUUAGGUAGUUGGUGAGGUAACGGCUCACCAAGGCAACGAUACAUAGCAGACCUGGGAGGGUGAUCGGCCACACUGGGAGUGGGACACGGCCCAGAUUCCUACGGGAGGGAGCAGUAGGGAAUCUUCGGCAAUGGAAGGAAGUCUGACCGAGCAACGCCGCGUGAGUGAAGAGGGUUUUCGGAUCGUAAAGCGCUGUUGUAAGAGAAGAAGGAGUGUGGGGGUGGAAAGGUCACACUGUGACGGUAUCUUACCAGAAAGGGACGGCUAACUACGUG